This is a long non-coding RNA of Ictalurus punctatus (channel catfish), 4951 nucleotides long. Lineage: Eukaryota; Metazoa; Chordata; Actinopteri; Siluriformes; Ictaluridae. The record is from Ensembl.
GUGCGAUUCAUUGACACAAUCACGAUGACAAGAAAACACCUCACCACACUACACCACCACAUCACACGCAAUACCACACCACAGAACUCCACCACACUAUAAACCACACCACACUACACUACCACAUCACACACAAUACCACAACACAGAACUCCACCACACUGCACUACCACAUCACACACAAUACCACACCACCUCAUCAUACACCACACCCCACUACACUACCACAUCACACACAAUACCACACCACACCACACUACACCACCACAUCACACACAAAACCACACCACAGAACUCCACCACACUACACACCACACCACACUACCACAUCACACACAAUACCACACCACCUCAUCACACACCACACACACACACCACAGCACAAUAUACACCACACCACACCACUACAUCACAAAUCAUAACACAUUACACGACCAUACAAAACCACACCAUGCUGAUUGUGCAACAUAUAUAAAAAUGUCUAAAAUAUAUACACUCUUUCUGGUGUGUUAGAUGUUGAUGAGUGUGCACGGUCUCCAAGUCCGUGUGGGUAUCAGUGUCGAAAUGUGCCUGGUAGUUUCCGGUGUCUGUGUCCCCCGGGAACUGUCCUGCUGGUGGACGGCCGCUCAUGUGCUGGAGUUGAGAGAGGAAGUGUGUUCAAUAAUCGAACUUGGGUUCGAGUUGGACUUCAGCCUCAGUUGGUGUCGACAAGGGGUCAAACACUAACGCUGCUACAGAACACACAGCUGGGGGCACCGAGGAACAAAUUGCACAUUUGCCCACCUGGUUAUGCAAUUAAAGCCAGUAGCUGUGUGGACGUUGAUGAGUGUGUGCUCAGGAAGCCAUGCCAACACGACUGCCGGAAUUCAGUAGGAAGUUUUCAAUGUUUUUGCCCUUCAGGAUAUCAGCUGAUGCCCAAUGGUCAAACAUGCAGAGAUAUUGAUGAAUGCAUUGAGCAUAGUGUGCAGUGUGGACCAAACCAAAUGUGCUUUAACACAAGGGGGAGUUACCAGUGUUUGGACACUCCAUGUCCUGUCAGCUAUCACAGAGGAGGAAGUCCAGGACCACAGCGGGUUGGCCUGCAGGACCGUGACCCUGAAUGAGUCCCAUCCAUGCCCCAUAAAGUGUUGGACCAGGUGAUGAGGUAAACUGCAUUUUUAGUAUGUACGGUGCCCGAUCGGUGAGUGCAGAAGACUUCCUUUGUGGUCCUGUUUAGGACGUAUUCUUUUUGGUAAAAAUAUUGCCCGUGAUGCUUGGGUUUAACGUAGUGGAGGGCCCAGAGUUUAGCUCUGAUUAGAUAGUCCUGCAGAUUUUUGUUCUUCUGGAACACUGCAAUGACUUUGUGGUUUUUGAAAAUUUGCGUCUGUCCCAACAGGUUUUGGAAGUGUGAUCUGACCUCCCUGGUCAAUUUCACCGCGGCUGACGAGUACGUCAGGAUGAAGGGCAUGACGGUGCCCUCCGUCUGGGUCCCUUUGGUCAGGUACGAUUUCAAAAUUUUUCUAAGAAAUGACCUGUUGUAUUCUCUCGGCUUGAGUGCUUUAAAGAGGAUUUGUGUCGCUUCUCUGAAGUCCCGUUCCUGGGUGCAUAUGUGGCUGAACCUCAGGAGUUGCGACUUGACUAGGCCGGAAUAGGUGUGCUUGGGGUGAAAGCUCCUUUUAUGUAAUAGGGCAUGCGUGUCAGUCUCCUUGAAGAAGACUUUAAUGUCCUGAUUGUGUGACGAACCGAAAGCCGGACCCUUGUAAGUGGUGGUGUCCAGGAAGUCUACCGACUCAUGACUAAUGGUGGAUUUGAGUGUUAUCGACGGAUUGUGGUUGUUUAGCCAGGCCUCGAAUUCCCUGAACUCCUCCUCGGAGUGGGUCCACACUCCCCAGAUAUCAUCCAGAUAUCUGAAGUAGUGAAGGGGCCGUCUGUGGCAUCCGCCCAAGGCCGAAGCCUCCCACUCUGCCAUGAAAAUGUUGGCGUAGGCUGGGGCGAACUUCUUGCCCAUCGCCGUGAAUUUUACUUGCAGGAAAAAUUCCCUGAACUCAAAGUAAUUUCUGUUUAAAUUAAUGUCCAAAAGUCGGAUGAGUUCGUUGUCAGGCCUGGAGGCGUUAGUUAUUGCCUGUAUUCCCUCUCGGAUGUCAAUGUUUGUGUAUAAGCUGUCUAUAUUCAUGGUGAAGAGGAUGGCUUCUGGCGGGAUUUUUAGUCCUUUCACCUUGUGUAUGAAAUCGUACGUAUCUUUAAUGUAACUAGGGUGGCCGAUAGAUAGGGGAUUCAGAUAAUAAUCCAAAAAUUCGCUCGUGUAGUAGGUCUCGCUGCCACAGUCUGAUACUAUGGGUCUUCCUGGGGGAAUUUCAUAGGGCCUGCUCCAUUUUGCUCGGUCCUUAUGUAUUUUUGGGAGCAUGUAGAACCUCCUGCUUUUCGGUUCUACAUUCCCCAGCAGGUAGGAUUUUUGUUUCGCGUUGUUGUAUUUUUUUUGUGUAAAGACUUUAGGCUAUUUCUUUUACCAUUGGUAUGGUGUCUAGGUAGAUUUGUUUUUUCAAUUUCCUAUAAUAUUUAGGGUCAUUUAAUUGUUUGUACCCCUCCCAUAGAUAUUGCUCCCGGUCCAUAAUCACUAUGGCACUCCCUUUGUCUGCCGGUUUUAUAAUAAUCUGUUUGUUGUUCUGCAGUUCCUUGAGAGCAUCUAUCUCCCCUGGAGAGAGGUUCGGUUCUUCCCGGGGUGGUCUAAAAUGAUUUAAAAAAAGUUUUAGGUCCGUCUCGAAUAACUUGUGGAGUUCUGCAGGUAGUUUGUCCGUCGGCGGGGUCCAAUCCGAUUUGGGUGUGAACGGAGGGGGUUCUUUCUGUGUGUCAUUAUGGAAAUAAGCUGCUAAUUUGAGUCUCCUGUGGUAUUGUUGUUGGUCGAAUCGUGUUUGUAUUACCUGUUGCUUCCUACCUGUUGUGCCUGAUGGAAUGAAUGUUAGACCUUUAUUGAGAAGGCUAAGUUGAAGGGGAGUGAUGUGGAAUUUUUAGAUAGGACGAUGACAUUUCUAUUCCCCUCCUGUACAUGCAGGCUUGUGGGGAGAUUUAUUUUAAAUAUCGCAGCCAGUGCUGGAGCAUGCUACAGGCUGUGUCCGCCGUCCAAUGGAUUAGGUCCUCUUUGGUUUGAAAUUCCCAGCUGGGUAGGGCUGGAAUGUGUUUAAGGUUUUUGGUGAUGUAGGCGUUAAGGGUAUCCAAAUGUGUUCACUCGUUGGGUGGGAGCUCAGGAGAAAAAUUCACCACCGGCACCCAGAUUUCCGCCCGAGGGAAUUUUUCUUUGGCCGUUCUCAAGAGGCCCUGCAGUCCCUUGAUGGCAGUUUCACUGACGUUGUUUGAUCUGCCAUUGAUGCCCAACGACAAGAUCACGUGUUCUGUGUCAGUAGAGGCUGUGUUUUUGUAGAGUAUCUGUUUCACAUGCGCAAACUUAGCCCCUGGAUAGCUCUCUAUCUGUAGAUCGGGGUUCUUGAAAGAUGGCAUUCUGGACAAAUUGGAGUCACUGAAAAUGUGGAAUUUUCUCCGGGCUGUCAGUGUCCAGUGAGACUUUCUUUUGGUCGCUAUGUGUCUGUUAGGCCUGUCUUCCCGCAUGUCACAGUGCACUCUGGGAGACGCACCGGGCCGUAAGCAUAAGAGGGCCUGUGUGGCUGUCUUGAGGCUAGUAAUUUUGUUGGGGCUCGAAGUCACCUCUCGUGAGGCGACCUUCUCUCGUUCGCACUCCCCUGGGUCCUCGAAGCAGAUGAGGUCAUCCUCCUCCUGUCUGACACAGGGGUUAGGACGCCGCCGAGGACUGCGUUGUACUUUUGGGGAGGACAGGAGAUGAAGGGAAGUGUCUGAAUUGCUGUCUAGGUCCUCCUCUCUAACGGGGGACCAAUCGUGCAGCGGGUCAGUCAUAGUGGACACCGUAGUGGACCUUACAGGCAGAGAUUGUAAUUCCGUCUCUGUGUGUAACAGUGCCUGCACUGUGACCGCUCUAGCCAGUGUGUUUUGUGGUUAGGGAGGAGUAGGAGAGGGAUUCUGGGUCUCAGUUUCCUCUCCCCUCUGACCUGGAUCGGUGGGAGGAAGCACUGUUUGCCAUGUCUCUCCCACCAGCCCGUGAGCCUCAUGCACAGUUUUGUCCUUAAGUCUUUUGCCAAUAUCCCAUUUUUCCCACACGAUGGCAGUGUUGAAGCAUUCUUCCCAAUCCUUGGAGGAAAGGUGCUGCAGCUUGGCCAUUUCAUCCCCCAAUGCAUCUUCGUAGUGGAUUUUAAGAAUCAGCAUUGUGGUGUAUGCCCAAUUUUUUGCAUUGCCCUCAAUGAGGGAGUGUGUCGUGGCGUUUGGCAAUGCAGGUUUGAUGAUCUCUGACAGGUGUCUUUCAAUUUUGCUGAUAGAUGGAGGCUGUUCAUGGCUAAUGUUGUUUUUGUCUUGUAUUAAUUUAAUAAUUUUAAAAAGGAGACGGGUCUUGGUGACAAAGUCAGGGCCAUCCGAGUGCUUGGGCUUCGUGUCAGGUUUGGGACGUGUGUUUUUGUCUUUAGAAUACGAGUGCGCCAUACGCACUCCGUUCGGUUCCCAGUGGCGUGAUUGCUUCGUAAAGGCUUUUAGCCGAGACCUAAACGUUACGGGUCCUGAGAGGGCCCGGGUUUCAAAAAAUUGCAGUCUGCCAGACCGUUGCUGGAAUUCACCGUGGUGAGUCGGUGCUACUCUCCUGUGGCCACCGUAUUUGACCAUGUCCGCAUAGGAGAGCAUUCCCUCUCCCUGUGCAUAAUGUGGGGCUCGGCAGCCACCGUAUUUGACUGCGUUCCCAUAGAAGGGUGCUUUCUCUGCCCGUGCAUGCUGUACGGGGUCGUGACAAGUAUGGGGCAUGGGCCAAACAUUGCCCUGGACGGUACGUUUGCGUCCGCGUGUGACGACUGUCCAGUUGUCCCUUUCUGGCCAAACCAUGUUUUGGUAAUUUUCUUUCAAUUGUAAUGAUUCAGAAGGUUUG